GAGCCUCGCACUAUUGGAGCGGCCGAUAUCGGAUUAGCUAGUUGGUGUGGUAAAGGCGUACCAAGGCGACGAUCCGUAGCUGGUCUGAGAGGACGACCAGCCACACUGGGACUGAGACACUGCCCAGACUCCUACGGGAGGCAGCAGUGAGGAAUUUUGGACAAUGUCGGCAACCCUGAUCCAGCCAUCUCGCGUGUGCGAUGAAGGCCUUCGUGUUGUACAGCACUGUUGGCAGGAAAGACACGGCUCUGGCUAAUACCUGGUGCAACUGACGGUACCUGCAGAAUAAGCACCGGCUAACUACGUGCCAGCAGCCGCGGUAAUACGUAGCGUGCAAGCGUUAAUCGGAAUUACUGUGCGUAAAGCGUGCGCAGGCGGUUCGGACAGAGAGAUGUGAAAUCUCAGGGCUUAACCUUGGAACUGCAUGUAUAACUACCGGGCUAGAGUGUGUCAGAGCGAGGUGGAAAUUCCGCGUGUAGCAGUGAGAUGCGUAGAGAUGCGGAGGAACACCGAUGGCGAAGGCAGCCUCCUGAGAUAACACUGACGCUCAUGCACGACAGCGUGUGGAGCACACAGGAUUAGAUACCCUGGUAGUCCACGCGCUAAACGAUGUCAACUAGCUGUUGGGGACUUCGGUCCUUGGUAGCGCAGCUAACGCGUGAAGUUGACCGCCUGGGGAGUACGGUCGCAAGAUUAACACUCAAAGGAAUUGACGGUGACCCGCACAAGCGGUGGAUGAUGUGGAUUAAUUCGAUGCAACGCGAAGUACCUUACCUACCCUUGACAUGUCUGGAAUGCCGAAGAGAUUUGGCAGUGCUCGCAAGAGAACCGGAACACAGGUGCUGCAUGGCUGUCGUCAGCUCGUGUCGUGAGAUGUUGGGUUAAGUCCCGCAACGAGCGCAACCCUUGUCAUUAGUUGCUACGACAGGGCACUCUAAUGAGACUGCCGGUGACAAACCGGAGGAAGGUGGUGAUGACGUCAAGUCCUCAUGGCCCUUAUGGGUAGGGCUUCACACGUCAUACAAUGGUCGGGACAGAGGGCUGCCAACCCGCAAGCCGGAGCCAAUCCCAGAAACCCGAUCGUAGUCCGGAUCGCAGUCUGCAACUCGACUGCGUGAAGUCGGAAUCGCUAGUAAUCGCGGAUCAGCAUGUCGCGGUGAAUACGUUCCCGGGUCUUGUACACACCGCCCGUCACACCAUGGGAGUGGGUGAUACCAGAAGUAGUUAGCCUAACUGCAA
RNAcentral lists this ribosomal RNA (1239 nucleotides) under Bordetella petrii. RNAcentral describes it as "bacterial SSU rRNA". It matches the Rfam family "Bacterial small subunit ribosomal RNA", at positions 208 to 1444 of the family's 1533-position model. Lineage: Bacteria; Pseudomonadati; Pseudomonadota; Betaproteobacteria; Burkholderiales; Alcaligenaceae. The record is from RNAcentral.